RNAcentral lists this ribosomal RNA (251 nucleotides) under uncultured Bartonella sp. RNAcentral's name for it is "partial 16S ribosomal RNA". It matches the Rfam family "Bacterial small subunit ribosomal RNA", at positions 524 to 774 of the family's 1533-position model. Lineage: Bacteria; Pseudomonadati; Pseudomonadota; Alphaproteobacteria; Hyphomicrobiales; Bartonellaceae. The record is from RNAcentral.
UACGAAGGGGGCUAGCGUUGUUCGGAUUUACUGGGCGUAAAGCGCACGUAGGCGGAUAUUUAAGUCAGAGGUGAAAUCCCAGGGCUCAACCCUGGAACUGCCUUUGAUACUGGAUGUCUUGAGUAUGGAAGAGGUGAGUGGAAUUCCGAGUGUAGAGGUAAAAUUCGUAGAUAUUCGGAGGAACACCAGUGGCGAAGGCGGCUCACUGGUCCAUUACUGACGCUGAGGUGCGAAAGCGUGGGGUGCUCUCA